CCUACGGGAGGCAGCAGUCGGGAAUAUUGCACAAUGGGGGAAACCCUGAUGCAGCAACGCCGCGUGAAGGAAGGCGGUUUUCGGAUUGUAAACUUCUGUUCUUAGUGAAGAAUAAUGACGGUAGCUAAGGAGCAAGCCACGGCUAACUACGUGCCAGCAGCCGCGGUAAUACGUAGGUGGCAAGCGUUGUCCGGAAUUACUGGGUGUAAAGGGAGCGCAGGCGGGAAGCCAAGUCAGGUGUGAAAACUACGGGCUUAACUUGUAGACUGCAGUUGAAACUGGUUUUCUUGAGUGAAGUAGGGGUUAGCGGAAUUCCGGGUGUAGCAGUGAAAUGCGUAGAUAUUGGGAGGAACACCGGUGGCGAAGGCGGCCAACUGGGCUUUAACUGACGCUGAGGCUCGAAGGUGAGGGGAGCGAAAGGGAUUAGAUACCCCAGUAGUC
Molecule: ribosomal RNA, 441 nt
Filed under: uncultured bacterium
Lineage: Bacteria
Description: partial 16S ribosomal RNA
Rfam family: Bacterial small subunit ribosomal RNA
Source: RNAcentral